Molecule: long non-coding RNA, 690 nt
Organism: Haliotis rubra (blacklip abalone)
Lineage: Eukaryota; Metazoa; Mollusca; Gastropoda; Lepetellida; Haliotidae
Exons: 3
Source: RefSeq, a predicted model, not a curated record
ACGCAUGGAACUUGCGUCAGAGGAUGUAAUGAUACCGACCAGACAUGCACAUCUAACUGUACUAAAGACUGUCCUUCGGAGGUCUGCCUUAAACUCAGAACAUGUUCAGGUGGUCAGCCGAAGCUUGACAUCAAGUACAUGACAAUGGGACUGUCAGCAGUGAUGUUUCUUACUGGCAUCCUUUGUGCUGUUUGUUUUGUAAGAUACUGGUCAAGGAGAAGGAACGAUGAAGCAGAACACCUACAUAGUAGGGUAUCAGCCUCCGUCAAACAGAUAUUACGAAAUUCGAGAUGAAGAUGUGGACCAAGAAUGUGACUCCACUGAGCCUGAAUCGAAUGAUGUCACUCCUCCGUUGGCAGAACUGCUUAAGGAAGCUGACGUCAGUGGAACACACAGUGACGUAUCUUCAGAUGGUACUUCAGAAGACAACCAGUCGUACACACACACCUAGAGAGGGAUAACUGUGUCGUUGAUCAGACAACUUAUGUGAAAUAUAUCACACCAGCUGAGGAACGGAUGUCCGGUGAACAGUAACAUCGAAGGCAAUCUCAUUCACUACCACUUUCAAGAGGUGCAAGGUCGAUUUAUAGUUAUAUAGCUUGUAGUCUACAGUGUGGUUGUGGAUAGUACCUGCUUUAAAGAUGUCCACAAACUUUGCCCUUAUACAGGCAUCAUCAGUGACAAAAGCGA